UAAGAGCUCUCGCCCUGCCAGGCUUGAGAGCUAAUGCUGUUAAUUCAUUCCUUGGAUGUCUGA
This 63-nucleotide small nucleolar RNA is filed under the name Oryza sativa Japonica Group (Japanese rice). RNAcentral's name for it is "Small nucleolar RNA SNORD14". The record is from RNAcentral. Lineage: Eukaryota; Viridiplantae; Streptophyta; Magnoliopsida; Poales; Poaceae.